GUGGAGCAUGUGGCUUAAUUUGACUCAACGCGGGAAAUCUUACCGGGUCCGGACACACUGAGGAUUGACAGGCAAUAUUAAUACAUCAGCUCUUUUUUAUUAAAGUCUGUGUAUUAUGUUAAAUAUGCUAGUCCUUUCAUGAUUAUGUGAUAGGUGGUGCAUGGCCGUUCUUAGUUCGUGGAGUGAUCUGUCUGCUUAAUUGCGUUUCACUAAGGGCCUAUAAAUUUACGUGUGUUGCGGCACUUUGACCCCUCUCUGAGCGCGCGUCUUAGUUUGCUUUGCUCGCACAAUUAGGUCCUGAAAGCAACGAACGUGACCGCAACCUCUUGUUGCCUUUAUUCCAAACAUGUUUGCCAUUUUAAAUGGUAUUCAUGAAAAAAGGCUUUUUAAACUAGAGGGACCGCUGUUACUUUCUUAAACCAGAGGAAGGUUGCGGCAAUAACAGGUCUGUGAUGCCCUUAGAUGUUCCGGGCUGCACACGUGCUACAAUGAUUAUUGCAGUGAGCAUCUCAUUUUUACACACCGCAUGCGCGAGUCCAUUUAUUCACCUCUCUGAGGCGCUUUAAAUGUGUACCUCUGCGCGCGGUAAAGCCUGCUUCGAGAGUAAGUGGGUAAUCAAUUAGAAGUAAUGAUUUCCUUUUUAGCACACAUAUAUACGGCGUCUAUGCCCGGGCUGCCUUGUUGUAGCUUUUGUGCGUAUAGAUGUUUUUUCCGUAUGUGCGAUUGUCAAUUCAUGGUGGGGACAGACCAUUGUUAAUUGUUGGUCUCGGUCUUAACUAGGAAUGCCUUGUACGGGUCUUUGGUUCAACAAACCACCCGGAAUACGUCCCUGCCCUUUGUACACACCGCCCGUCGCUCUUACCGAUGGACUUCUCUGUGAGUUUGAGGGACUGGGAACGCAGAUUUUAUCUGCACACCUAUGGAAACUUAAACG
This 934-nucleotide ribosomal RNA is filed under the name Chilostomella sp. AtlMed. RNAcentral describes it as "bacterial SSU rRNA". It matches the Rfam family "Eukaryotic small subunit ribosomal RNA", at positions 1176 to 1761 of the family's 1831-position model. The record is from RNAcentral. Lineage: Eukaryota; Foraminifera; Rotaliida; Chilostomellidae.